GCGGCGUGCUUAACACAUGCAAGUCGAACGGUGAAGCCCAGCUUGCUGGGUGGAUCAGUGGCGAACGGGUGAGUAACACGUGAGCAACCUGCCCCUGACUCUGGGAUAAGCGCUGGAAACGGCGUCUAAUACUGGAUACGAGUAGCGACCGCAUGGUCAGUUACUGGAAAGAUUUAUUGGUUGGGGAUGGGCUCGCGGCCUAUCAGCUUGUUGGUGAGGUAAUGGCUCACCAAGGCGUCGACGGGUAGCCGGCCUGAGAGGGUGACCGGCCACACUGGGACUGAGACACGGCCCAGACUCCUACGGGAGGCAGCAGUGGGGAAUAUUGCACAAUGGGCGCAAGCCUGAUGCAGCAACGCCGCGUGAGGGAUGACGGCCUUCGGGUUGUAAACCUCUUUUAGCAGGGAAGAAGCGAAAGUGACGGUACCUGCAGAAAAAGCGCCGGCUAACUACGUGCCAGCAGCCGCGGUAAUACGUAGGGCGCAAGCGUUAUCCGGAAUUAUUGGGCGUAAAGAGCUCGUAGGCGGUUUGUCGCGUCUGCUGUGAAAUCCGGAGGCUCAACCUCCGGCCUGCAGUGGGUACGGGCAGACUAGAGUGCGGUAGGGGAGAUUGGAAUUCCUGGUGUAGCGGUGGAAUGCGCAGAUAUCAGGAGGAACACCGAUGGCGAAGGCAGAUCUCUGGGCCGUAACUGACGCUGAGGAGCGAAAGGGUGGGGAGCA
RNAcentral lists this ribosomal RNA (719 nucleotides) under Microbacterium sp. E1. RNAcentral describes it as "bacterial SSU rRNA". It matches the Rfam family "Bacterial small subunit ribosomal RNA", at positions 39 to 770 of the family's 1533-position model. Lineage: Bacteria; Bacillati; Actinomycetota; Actinomycetes; Micrococcales; Microbacteriaceae. The record is from RNAcentral.